Homo sapiens (human) is the source of this 21350-nucleotide long non-coding RNA. RefSeq lists it as uncharacterized. The record is from RefSeq and is a predicted model, not a curated record. The transcript has 2 exons. Lineage: Eukaryota; Metazoa; Chordata; Mammalia; Primates; Hominidae.
GUAUCAUGCGUUGUCAUUUUCUAUUUCAUUUAUUUUAUCUUUAUGCUCAAAAUUUAAAGGGAAUUUAUCUGAAAGUCAAGGAUGAAAAAAUUAUGUUUAUCUAUAGACACAUUCUUGAAAUUGGAUAAAGCCUCUAACCCUAAAUUAAAAAUCCAAUGUGGCACCUGCUCUUCUCUAAGCAGAAUUAUAGAACUUUAGAAAGGGAGAACUCCUUUCAAUUUAUUCAUUCUCUAUCCAUUCAUUUAUUUAGUCAUGGCUUCAACAAAUAAUACUGACUACCUGCUGUGCCAGCCACCAGAAAUACAGGGUUGAGCAGGAGGGACAAGGUUUCUGUCUUCAUGAAGUUUACAUUUCUGGUGGUUGAGGGAAAGGUUGAAUUUGCAACGCAUAGAAAAAUUAAUGGUGUAAGGUCCCAGAGACAAAGGAUGGAGGGAGGGAAUUCAUAUCCAGUACAUAUGUGGAAUGACUCGCCUUUGAGAAGGUGGACAGGUGAGAUGUAGGAGAGCAUAGUAUAAUUAGUUUUGGGAAAUUGAAGGAGCCUAAUUGGAUGGCUUCUGAUUUUUCUGUGAAGUGUGAGGCAUGAUUAUCUUGAUCAAUGAUGGUGUUUGGAGUUUGAGAAGAAUAGAGCAUGCUUAUAUAGUUAGAAUAAUCUUUGCAGAGUGAAAUAGCAAUUUGAUAUACUUGAACAGAGUAAGAUAAGGUGACAUGUUUGCUCAGAAUUAUCUUUGGGGUGAAGAGAUGGAUAGUACCACUGUUUCUAUCUGUAGCUGGAUCCUUUUUCUUAAUGUGUUAGCAUAUUCUAUUAGCUUACAUGGAGAGAAACAUUGCAGUGGGGUGGCUUUGACAUGGACUUAGCAAUGCUGAACAAAUUUCUUAAUGUUCCCAAGUUCUUUAAGAGUGCAUCCACCAUAUCUUCUGUGCACCUUAUAUACUAGAUUACUAGACUACUUAAUUUUAUCCCACAACAUUGUAUCAGAACUCACUCAUAUAGUUGUGACAGCAAGUGAAUCCAUCUUAGCAAAAGGGCACACCUGAAGAUGGAUUGUCACCAGGACGUACUCUCCAUUUCUAUCUCUGCAUGAUUUUUUGUGUCAGCAUUAUUCUUUGGAAUGAGGUCCUUUAUACAUGGUUAUUAGCAGUGCUAUAGAUCACGUGUUUAAUUUUGACACCAAAGAGGAUUGUUCUUCUUCCCUAACUUCUCAUUUAGUCUGUUCUAGGACAGGAUUCUGACUUGUAUCACUGAGAGGAUGGAAUAUUGUGAUUGACAGCCCCCACUUGCUUGCAAUGACAGUAAGAAUGAGAUACUGGUCUCAGAGAAUGGGAGUUCUUGGCACACAAAGCAAUAGAUACCCAUUUGUUUCUUUCCAGUGUGCAGACACACCCUUCUUCAUACAUUGAAUAAUACUUUUGCCAAACAUUGCAGUUUUCCUUUUACAACCACAAAUAUACCAUCUCUCUGUAACAUGCCUGCCCAACUGCAGCUUCUGUCUCCAAGGCUAAGAUUUGUUGAUAGUGUUCAUUCCCCUCAGUCAGGUAUGGAUGGCACUGAAAUCUAUAGGCUAAGUGAAAAAUACGAAAAUACCGUUGUCCCUUAAUAUCUGUAGGGGAUUGAUUCCAGGGCCUCUGACAGGUACCAAAAUCCAAGGACACUCAAGUCCCUGAUAUAAAAUGGCAUAGUAUCUGCAUAUAACUGAUGCAUAUCCUCCCAUAUACUUUAAACUGUCUCUGGAUUACUUAUAAUAUCUAAUACUGUGUAAAUAGUUGUUAUGUUGUAUUCUUUGGGGAAUAAUGACAAGGAAAAAAGUCUGUACAUAUUCAAUGCAGACAGAAUUUUAGAGGGAAUAUUUUCCAUCCACCGUUGGUUGAAUACACAGUUGCAGAACCCACAGAUAUGGAGGGUUGACUGUAUCUGACAUACCUCACAUAAAGUACUAGAGAAAAAAAAAAGAAUAAUUUCAAUUCAAGAAAAGUCAAAAAGGGGAAGUAUAACAGCUAUCACUUAUUCGGAGUAUUUACUACUUCCUGCUAGACAGGUAUAUAGCACAGUUAACCCAUGUGAGCAUCUUUUCAUUGAUUCAUUUCCUAGCAAUGGAUUGACUUAAUUGGUUAGUUUAUUCCAAAGUCCCAGAUUCUACUGAUAAAAUUUUCCUUGUCCACUGUUUUCCUGGACCCAGUGGCCCAGGAAACCUCCUCUAUUGGAGGAUUCUCCGGGUAGAAGCUCUUCUCCCUCAGCGGCCUAAUACAUAUGAAUAUAGAUACAGAACCUGAGGAUUGCUUAGCAGUUGAGACAUCACAGACACCUUGUACCAGGCUAGAAGUUUUUCUGCCAUUGUAUCUCCUUUAAAGCCUUAGUUAACUGUCUUGAGAAUUUCUGAUUGGUCAAGGCAGUUUUAAGUGUCAUGGGGCUUUUGUCUUUGUAGCAAGUUAGGAAGUUCGUCCUGCUUUCCAAAGGAACCUGCCUCUGCUUGUUUCUAUCUCUGUUCCUGCCUCAGAACCAAAGGGAAAAUAUAUGGAUGGGUUAAGACGUGCCCAUCUCCAGGCUUCUUUCCUGUCAGUUGCUUUAUCACUGGAGGACUUUUAACCUCUGUUUUUCCAUGGGGCUAUCAGGAGGAGCGUGGAAGUUUCAGCUGCCUUUAAUUCCUCAGGCUCUUCCUGGAUAUCCCCAUUUCAAUUUCCCAAGGUUUCCAAAUCACAUUAAUGUUAGCAGAUAAUUCAGCCUUACAAUCCAGAAUGUGCAUGGUUUCUAAUAAUUUACAAAAACUAAAAUUCACCAAUUUAGAGUAUAUAGUUUGAGUUUUGAAAAAUGUAUAGUUAUAUAAUCAUCAACACAAUUAAAAUAAAUAACAUUUCCAUUACCCAGAAAAGUUUAACUGUACUUUUGGCAGUAAUUGCUUCUCGUAUUACUCCCAUCCUAUGACGGUUAUGACAGAUGAUUAUCUGUCUUUGGGCCCUAUACUUUUGCCUUUUCUAAAAUUGCAAUAAAUGGAAUCAUGGGACUGCUUUGUGUUUGGCUUCAUUCACUUAGUGUUAUUCUUUGCAGAUUCAUGUAUAUUGUUAGGUGUUGUGUGAAUUAAUAGUUUCUCUCUUCUUAUUGCUUAAUAAGUAUUCCAUUAUUUGGAUAUCCCACAGUUUAUUGAUUCACCAGCUGAGCAUUCUGGUUGUUUCCAGUUUUGAACUGUUAUAAAUAAAGCCCCUAUGGACAUUCACAUAUAAGUUUUUGCACGUACAUAUGUUUUCAUUUCUUUUCAGAAGUUACCUAGGAGUAAAAGAGUAAGAUUGCUUCACCAUAUGCUAAAUAUAUCUUUAACUUUUUAAGAAAUUUCUAAAGUUUCUAUAUCAUUUUGCAUCCCUUAUACCUAUAUAUAUUAUGUCUUCCUGAUGAUUUGACCCCUUUGUCAUGAAAUGACGUCCGACACCCCUGGUUAUAUUCCUUAUUUUGGAGUCUACUUUGUCUAAUAUUAAUACAGCCACUUUAGUUUCCUUCAUAGUUUUUGCAUGCUAUACAAAUUUUGUUUCUAACUUUUUAUUGUUAAUUUAUGGUUGUGUCUUUAAAAUUGCUUUCUAUUAUAUGGAAUAUUGGUGGGUCUCGCUUUUUAUUGUAAAUCACAGUAUCUGUCUUUUAAUUAGAGUGCCUAUACCAUUUACAUUUAUAGUAGUUAUUAGUAUAGUUGACUUUAAAUCUGCCGUCUUACUGUUGGUUUCUUAUUUAUUCCGUCUGGUCUUUUCCUUUCUUGUGUAGGAUUAUUUUUUGUGUGUGGUUCUGUUUUUUGUCACUAUUGGCCUGUUUGCUGUACUUCUUUAAUUAUUUUAGUGUUUGCUGCAAGGUUUACAGUGUACAUCUUUAAUUUGUCACAGUUCACCUUCAAAUUGUACUGCUUCAUUUAUGGUUUGAGACCCUUAUAGCAAGUUAAUUCCCCUUAUCUCUUCCUAGCCUUUGUGAUGUUGUCCUAUAUUUUAAUUCUAUGUUCUAAAACUUAAAGUAGUUCAUUGUUAAUAUUUUUGCUUUAAGCAGAAACCUUUUUUUUACUUUUACCCCCACAUAACUGCUGUCAGGAAUUUUUCUCAUGUUUUAUCAGUGUGAAAAUAUCUUUAUUUUCACCUUAAUUUUAGGAAUGUAUAUUCACUGGGUAUAGAAUCCUUUGGCAGGUUGUUUUUCCUUUCAAUACUUAAAGAUGAUGUUUCAUUUUUCCCUGCCCUGCAGGAUUUCAGACAAAAAAAGUCUCCUAUCAUUCUUAUCUUUGUUCCUCUGCACCCAAGAUGGCUUUUUCUGCUACUAUGAAUGCUUUCAAGAUUUUUCUAUCUCUGGUUUUCAUCAAUUUUAUUAUGUGAUGCCUUAGUGUGAUUUUCUUUAUGUUUUCCUUAUUUGGUGUUUAUUGGGGUUCUUGGAUUCAUAGGUUCAUGUUUUUUUCAGCCAUUAUUUCUUAAAGCCUCCACUCCUGUUAUGGGACUUGUUUGCUAUAUGAUACUCAGUGCUAUCCCAAGGGUUUCCUGAAGCUCUUUCCAAUAUUUUUAACUCUUUGUCAUUUCAGUACUUUAUUUGAUAGUUUUUAUUCUUCAUUUACUUCAUUUUUCAUUUCAUAAUCAGCAUGUUUAUCUUUGAAGUUCAACUUGGGUCUAUUUUAUAUCUUCCGUUUCUCUCCUUAUCAGGUUGAUGUUUUUCUUCAUGUCCUUGAAUAUAUUUAUUCUGUUUAUAAUUGCUUUUUUAAGGUUCUUCUCUUUGAUAACCUUCCUUUCUGUCGUUUCUGGAACUGUUGCAUUAUUUUUUUUCUGCUGGCUUUAGUCAUAGUUGGUUUUUUUUUCCUUUUUCUUUGCAUUCCUUGUAAUUUUUGAGUGCCAGACAUUGUGAAUUUUCCAUUUUUCAGGUGCUACUUUUAGUUGUAUUCAUCUAAAAAAAACACUGGAUUUUCUCCUGGUGUGCGGGUAAGUAACUUGCAGAUUAACUGAAUUCUUUAGACGCUUGCCUUUACCCUUUGUUCUGGUGGAUCCAGAGCAGUCUUUAUUCUGGGACUUAUUUAAAUAUUUCCAUUAAUAAGGCAUUCUUGUUCUUCUUCAGCCUCUUUCCAAUAUGGCAUGUAUUACACAGUCUAUCCACUCUAGCUGAUGAAAACAUAAAUUCUUCUUAGCCCUGUGUGAGCCCUUGAAAUUGUCCAUCCCACUACUUUAUUUUUCCCAUGCCUUGAAUUAUUUCCUUUCACUAGUGCUAAGAUCGAUGCUACAGCCAAGAGCAGAGUAUCCUCUGCAGGUCUUCAGAACCAUCUGUUUUUGUAACUCUCCCCUCUGUUUUACGCAGCUCUACAAAUUCUAGCCCUCUCAGCAUCACUAAACUCCUUUCUUAUCUCCGCAUCACUAAACUCCUUUCUUACCUCCUCAACUCAGCAUGACUCACAGGCUCUGUUUAGGUACCCUCUUCCACUGUUGGAACCGAGACUCUUUCUCUAAGCAGUAAGCCAGUCUUAACUCAUUUGUUUCUUUCUCUUCAGAAUUAUAAUCCAAUGUUUUCUGUUUUGAAAUGUCUAAAAAGUUUUGUUUUAUAUACUUACAUAGACUUUUUAAGUUAUUAUAGUAGGGCAGUUUCUAUAGCAGUUACUGUUUCUUGGGCAUAAGCAGAACUAAGCUGAUUCAUGAUCCCUUUUGUUAAGAAACGUCUUUCCAGUUGCUUCCCGCUUUAAGACCUAAUAUUUACUGAACUAUGAAAUUAAUAAGGAAUUCUAAGCAUUCAAGUAAAAGCAAACAGUUUAGUUAUAUAUUUGGAGAUGUAGAAAAGCUUUCGUUUCCUUCCCGUCUAAUCCUGUCUCCCCCACCAACCUCAUUUGUUGGAUUUUCAAUCAUGUCUGGUUGAACAGGUUUAUCUAACUAUUUGGCUGCUGCUCCUUCUUGGAAAUCUACCAGAAUGCCUUAAUUGUUUCUGAAUGUUUUUGCCUUCUUCUUUUGAGAGAUGGUCACUAUAAACAAAUUAGAGAAAUGUUUUAUAGUAAGGACUUACACAACCUGCUAUAAAACACAUCACUUUUUAUUUACACUACACAGAAAAAAAUGAAAACAACAGUGGAGCUUUCCUGGAAUAGGAGCUCCAAAUAAUUCUGAGAAUCCUGAAUGCUGUUUUUUGGACACAAAAAGUAGAUACUUAUUUUCUAAAUACUUACUUUGAUUAAGCAUGGUCACUAUAGGUAGACCUAUAUUACAUUUGUAUGUAAAUUUAAACCUGGCCAGGUGCUCUGAUGACAAAUAUUACAAAAAGUGUUUUAUAAGUGAAAAUUUGAAUCAAAGCUGCAUGGAAAGGUUAUUUUGUUUUAAAUGCUGAUACACUUGUCUCAAAUGGACCAUUUAUUUCACUCAAGAUUUGGUGUCUUUUUUUUUUAAUUAACUUUAAACAUUCAGUUUGUCAGACUGCAUCCAUAUUUUUAAACCUUGGAGGUUUUCUUCAUUUUUUGCCUUUUAAAGUUAUGCUCAGUUCAGAAAUUCUGCCUCCAGGAGACAAAUUGUUGUACCUAUCUUAGAAGUAUGUAUUUUUACAAAGACCUAUUAAAUCUGACAUUAAGGGAAAGCUUUGAAAAGUCAAAUUUGGAAAACAAAACGCAUCUCCUGGGUUUUGUCAGAUACAAUAAAAAACAAAAUUCAGUAUAAGCUCUUAGUUUUCUCAAUAUGAUGUAACAUACUUGUGGAAAUCAAGAAAGAAACUGGAAACAACAUACCCAAAAUAUAAAUGAUCUACACAAUAACAAUAGUGAUAAUUAAAUGAUUGCUAAAUAUUAGAGCUUUAUCCUAAGCAUUUCAUGCAUUAAUACAUUUAAUCUUGGUCCUAUAAAGCAGAUAUUAUUAUUGUCCUCAUUUUAUACAUGAAGACACUGAUCCUAAGCAUCUUAACCAAGGAUGUAGUAUAGAAUAGCAGUGUAUCUGGUGGAACAAAAAUCUGAUUAUACCAAACUAAUAGUAGCAUAUUGUUAAAAGCAAUUCCGAUGAGAAAAUAUGCUUAUGAAAUGUUUAAAUUCUGCAUUUUUUGUGUAGUUGGGACAGUCUGUCACUGUGUAGCAUGUAUUUAGAUAACUGGAGGUCUCAAGCUAGGGACAGUGAAGCCUGAACAUUUCUUUUACUUGGCCAACACAGUGCUGUUUAAACACUGAAUUGCCUGGAUGUAGGCAUUUUCUGGUUGACCAUAGUUUUCACAGCUCCCUGUAGCCUUAUACCAAACUUCCUCAUACAUUAAGGGGGAGAAGUACAGUAGGGCCAUGUUGACAUUUUCCAAGAUAAUAAGACAUACAGAUAGGAUGAUGGGUUGGAAAAGAGAACCCAGAAGCAGCAGUCUCCAGUGUUUAUAAAAAUUUGAUGGAUGAUAUAGAAAGUAAGUCAGAUAAUUAGAAGCAAAAAUUCUUCCGUAAUUUAUGUUGAGAAGUGUGUGUGUGUGUGUGUGUGUGUGUGUGUGUAUUCCCCACCUCAGUUCUAACACAAAAACCAGUUUCACGUAGAUUAAAGAUAAAAAUUUGAGAAACAAGGUUCUAAGAUUUUUAGAAGAACAUGUGGGACAGUAACUUCAUGACUUUUGGGUAGAAAGUGAAUUCUUAAGAUUUAUAAAAGCAGCUGGGUACAGUGGCUCACACCUGUAAUCCCAAUACUUUGGGAAUCCAAGACAGGAGGAUCACUUGAGCCCAGGAAUUCAAGACCAGCCUGGGCAACAUAGCAAGACAUCAUCUCUACAUAUAAACAGGCAUACGUAUAUACAUACAUAUUUACAAAAACAGUAAAAAAAAAUUGAUAUGUAUAAUUACACUAAAAGUAAAGACUUUAUAUUAAAAUUGUACUUAAAAAUGAAAGAUAAUUCACAGAUUAAGAUACUUGUAGCAUAUUACCAAUAAAGGAUUAGGAUCCAUGGUAAUAUUUAUAAAGAAAUUUUUUUUUUCAUUAUUUUUUCUUUUAUUCUUUUUUUUUUAAUACUUUAAGUUUUAGGGUACAUGUGCACAAUGUGCAGGUUAGUUACAUAUGUAUACAUGUGCCAUGCUGGUGUGCUGCACCCAUUAACUCGUCAUUUAGCAUUAGGUAUAUCUCCUAAUGCUAUCCCUCCCCCCUCCCCCCACCCCACAACAGUCCCCAGAGUGUGAUGUUCCCCUUCCUGUGUCCAUGUGUUCUCAUUGUUCAAUUCCCGAGAAAUUUUAAAUUACUUAUAAAAAAUACAACUCAGUAGAAAAAUGGGCAAAAACUUGAAGAGGCCAUGCUCAGAAAAUGAAACUGAGAUGAUCAAUACAUAUAUGAAGACAUAUUCAACCUUAUUGAUAUUCAAGGAUAUUCAUUAAACAUAUAGUGAAAUGUCAUUUCACAUGUUACCUUGACAAAAAUUAAAAGAAUACCAAGUGUUGGUAAGGAUUUGGAGCAAUGGGCCCUCUUCUACCCUGCAAAAGUAUUAGUGGUAUCAUUUGUACUUCAGAAAGCAGUUGGCAAUAAUAAAGUUGGAAAUGUUUAUUCUUAUAUCUCAGUUAAUUAGUCAUAAGGGUGUAUACACCUAUAAAAACUCUUAGUGUUACAGAAGUCAUGUUUAUAGCAACAUUAUAAUAGCUCAAAAUUUAAAAACUUAAAUGUCCAUUAAUAAGAGAUUGAAUGGAUUUUGUAUAUCCAUAUAAUUGAAAAGGAAGGAGCUAGAGUUCCACGUAUCAACAUGGAGGAAUCUCACCAGUGGUAAUGUUGAAUGAAAAAAAGCGGCUUGCAGAAGAAUCUGCACGUAAGAUAACAUUUGAAAGCAUGCAAAACAAUACUAUUUUUAGUAAGAAUACAUUCAUAUAUUGAAAUUAUUAAACAUAGAAUGGUUGUUACUUCUGGAAAGGAGAAUAACAGGCAGUCACUGACAAGUACCCAGUGGUUUCACUAUAUUGAUAAUAUAUAUUUUUUACAUUUGGCGGUAGUACAUGUAUACCUACUUUAUUACUCUUGAUAACCUUUUGAAGUCUUAUAUGUUUUACAAUUUUUUUUUUUUUUUUCUGAGAUGGAGUCUCGCUCAGUAACCCAGGCUGGAGUACAGUGGUACAUGCAAUUGUAGCUCACUGCAGCCUCAGACUUCUGGGCUCAGGUAGUCUUCCCACCUCAGCCACCCAGAUAGCUGGGACUACAGGCAUAUACCACCAUGCCCAGCUAAUUUUUUUUUUUUCCUUUUUCUUUUUUUUUUUUUUUUUUUUUUGGGGAGACGGGGGCUGACUAUAUUGCCCAGACUGGUCUUGAACUCUUGGCCUCAAGCAGUCCUCCUGCCUUGGCUUCCCAGAGCGCUGGGAUUACAGGCAUAAGCCACUGCUCCUGGCCUAUAAAUAAAAUUUUUAAAACUCAAUAGAACAUCUGAUUGCAUGGAAAAUUUAGAAACAUAUAAGGAUGUUUUUCUUAAAAUCUGCACAGGAAAAUUACAAUUAGAAAACUCAGUAAACAAAAAUCCGUAGCGACAGAAAACGGUGACCAGACACAGUGGCUCACGCCUGUAAUCCCAGCAUUUUGGAAGGCCAAGGCAGGAGGACCGUUUGAAUCUAGGAGUUCAAGACCAGCCUGGACCAUAUGGUUAUAGCUGUCUCUACAAAAAGAUUUUUUGAAUGAAAAUUGAAAAGAAAAAAUGACUUUGUGAUCGCCAUCAUUAUAGCAUAAUUAAUAAUUUAAAAUCUUACCAUAGUAAUAGAAUUUUGGUUACUCACAUUUAGAUAUGUGAAAGAUUUAAUUGUGGUACACAUUAAAAUAUAAAUAUUGUGCAACUUGAACCUGUAAGAGUACAGAUGAUAGAAGGUGGGAGGUAAAACUGGAUAGAACUAAGAGGGAGCAGGGAGAGAGAUCCGUUAAGCUCCUCUUACAGAGAGGAAGUCAGAAGAUGCUGCCUGUACUGGAGAAAGAAGAAAUAAUGUCAGUCAUUAUUUGUCAAAUUAAUACAUAAGAAAGUGGCAACUAUGUGAGGUGAAAAGUAUGUCAGUUAGCUUCCUUGUGGUAAUUAUUUCACCAUUCAUAUGUAAAAACAUCAAAUUGUACACUUAUGUACAAUUUUUAUUGGUCAAUAACACCUUACUAAAGCUGGGGAAAAAAUUUUUCACUAAAAUAAUAAUAAUGUUAUGCUCCAUAAAACUACAGAGGUAAUCAAUACAGAUACAAAUAAAAGCUAUGUAAGUAUAUUGGGAAGAUGGAAUGGCAUAGUUAAGUUUGUUAAAUUCUCAUCUAGCACAGCACAAAACUGAGAGUGUGUUUACAGCCUAUUAUGACACAGUGGUAGAAGCACAUUGUUUAGGGAUAUAAUGUCACUUAACGACUCGGAGAAGUAAUUUGUUUCAAAAGGUUUUUUUGUAAAAUGGGAACAGAGGAGGUGGGAAGAAAUGAAUCAAAGGAGGCUAAUUGUGUGGACAUAUCACUUUAAUAAUUUUAAAAUAUUUUAAUCACAUUCUUUUAUAGAUUCUUUAGUCAUUGUACAGUCCUGAGAUUAGUUCUGAAUUUGAAAUAUUAAAAUAUUCAUCGCUUUUUAAGGAGGUGAGAACUAUGUGUGGUUCAGCUUUUCAAUCUCAUUGUAAAUACUGUGGAUACAAGGAGUGGUGUGGAGCACCUUGACAAGGUUGGAGAGGUUCACUCACUUUAGAGGGAUUUACACACCUGCCUGUCAUCAAAAGUUUAGAAAAUUUAGUCCCACAUGUCAAAUUUAAGAAAGUAGAAUUUAUUCUGAGUCAUCCAUACUGAAAAUAGUUUAUAAUGGUAAUGCAGGCAGAAUUCUUUGCUAUCGUGUAACAUUGGGAACAGCGACACUAUAAUUAAGAGAUAAUAAAAGUGGAAUUUUUUUUCCCAAAAGACAGUUGUGUCCUCCUGUUAGAGCAAGACUCUUUAAGUACAGGCAAAGCCAAGCAAUUAUUUUAAAACUAGGCUAAGGUUUUCCCUUCCCUUGGCACUUGGCUGUUCUCUGGCAGCAGGGUGUGUAACGGAGCAGUUUAAGAUGUUAAUACAAGGCCAAACAACAGCACUGUGAGGGCAGCCAUGUGAACGCGCAGGAGCACCUUGUCACGUGACUCUCUAGUUUUAAUGGAAUAUUGGCUGUUUUAGAUAGGAAAUACCCCAUUCACAAUUCAAAAUUUAGACUAAAAGAUUAAGUUCUAGGUUUUUACAUUCCGUAAUGAUGGCUCAUGUCUUUAAAAUCCAUGCUUUCUGGCAAUAAAGUCGGUUGAAAGAGGUCCUCCGCCAUCAUUCUCAUCAGGAGCAAUAGUCUUUUUUCUGAGACGGUGUCUCACUCUGUUGCCCAGGCUGGAGUGCAGUGGCACGAUGUCAGCUCACUGCAACCUCUGUCUCCCUGGUUCAAGCAAUUCUCCUACUGUGGCCUCCUGAGUAACAGGGACUACAGGUGUGUGCCACCAUGCCGGGCUAAUUUUUGUGUUUUUAGUAGAGAAGCGGUUUUGCUGUGUUGGCCAGGCUGGUCUCAAAUUCCUGACCUCAGGUAAUCUGCCCUUCUCAGCCUCCCGAAGUGCUGGGAUUGCAGGCGUGAGCCACCGUGCCUGGCUGGAAGCAAUACUCUUGACUAGGAACAAUGGAAUAUAAACUGCCAAUCUUAUAGCACCAAAAAAUCUGUGUUCAGAAUCUCUGAAGUAUUUUUCUGAAAGAGGAAUGUUCAGUUUUCACUGUGCAUGUGAUUUUUAGAGGUUAUUCUAUUUUCACUGCUGACUCGUUCUGUUUAUGAUUUCGGUUUAAUUAACAUUUAGGAGAAAGAAGAAAAUAAUUCUUCCAUCCCUGUUGUGGUAAUUUAAUGCAGUGUGUCAAAUUCUUUAAUAAUCUGAUGAAAAUUUGAAAUUAAAAAUACCGUACUAGUUUCCUAAAGGAAUUAAUCAUGGGGAUAAGAAUGUAUAUGCAAAAGAUGUUAUCACUAAUGUUAAUGGAAAUAUCAAACUCUGCAAAAUGUUUUCUCUUUUUUUCUUUUGUUGAGACAGGUCCUUGCUCACUCACCCAGGCCAUAGUGCAGUGGUGUGAUCUGGGCUCACUGCAACCUCUGCCUCCCAGGCUCAAGCAGUCCCCCCUACCUCAGCCUAUUGAAUAGCUGGGACCACAGGAAUGUGCUGUCACACCCCACUAAUUUUUUAUUUUUUAUAGAGAUAGGGUUGCACCAUGUUGCCCAGGCUGGCCUCAAACUACUGGGCUCAAGUGAUCCACCAGGCUUGGCCUCCCAAAGUGCUGGGAUUACAGGUGUAAGCCACCAUGCCUGGCCCUCCAAACUCCAUAAAAUAUCUUAAAGAGGUUUAUUCUGAGCCAAUGUGAGUGACCACAGCCUGGGGAAAAAAAAAAAAAAAAAACACAAACCCAAGAACCCUUCAGUAAGUAGUCCCGAGACAGUCAGGUUACAGUUUGGUUUUAUACAUUUUAUGGAGAUGAGUUACAGGCAAAGACAUAAAUCAGUACAUGAAAGGUAUCCAUUGGUUCAGCCCCAAAAGGUGAGCAUCUUGAAAUGGGGGCUUACAAGUCAUAGGUGGGUUUUAGGGAUGGUUGAGUUAUUGGUUGAGAGAGUUAAGCUGUUGUCUGAGGACUUGAAGAGUAGACAGGAAUGCUUGAGUUAAGGAGGCUCUGGGAGCCACGGCCCUUAUCACGUAGAAGCAGCCUCAUGGGUGGCAGCCCUCAGAGAAACAGACUAUAAAUGUCUCUUUUCAGACUUUUGAGGUGUUGGGCUCUUAGCUAAUCUCUCCUACAUCUGGGAAAGGCCUAGAAAGGGAAGGCCUGGCUGCAUCAAUGGCGAUUCUCCAAAGAUGUUAAUUUCCCCCACAAAGGACGGCUUUGGAGGGUCAUUUCAAAAUAGUUCAAAGAAAUUUAUUUUGGGGUAAAAUAUUGUGAUUGCUUUCAGGGUCUGCUGUCAUGUGAUGCUAUACCAGAGUCAGGUUGGGGAGUAAGCCACGUUAUACCAGGUUAAUAAAAAUCCAUUUAGUGAAAUUUUAUGGUUAGGGUGUGACUUCACCUUUGCCUCACAUGGCCACACGGCCUUAGGUCUUUUUUUUUUUUUUGAGAUGAGGUUUCACUCUUGUUGCCCAGGCUGGAGUGCAGUGGCGUGAUCUCAGCUCACUACAACCUCUGCCUCCCGGGUUCAAACCGUUCUCCUGCCUCAGCCUCCCAAGUAGCUGGGAUUACAGGCACGCACCACCACACCCGGCUAAUUUUGUAUUUUUAGUAGAGGUGGGUCAGACCUUGUUGGUCAGGCUGGUCUCAAACUCCUUAUCUCAGAUGAUGCACUUGCCUCGGCCUCCCAAAAUGCUGGGAUUACAGGCAUGAGCCAGCAUACCCCAGUGGCCUUAGGUCUUGUUUAUAAUCUGGUAUCUUAUUGCCACACAGAGUCUGUUUUGAUCAGUCUUUUGAUCUGCAUUUUAACCGUAAUGCUGGUCAGUCGGGCCUGAACUUGAAAAGGAAGUGGAUAUAAGGAGGUGCAUCUGAACUUCCAUCCCAUCGUGGCAGGCAUUCAGUUUUUUAGGUUUCUUUUGGUCAAGAGGGGGUCCAUGCAGUUGGUUGGAGGGCUUAGGAUUUUUUAUUUGUUUACACUAGAUAGACCUAAGAAUUUGAGCUUUGAAGCAAGAUAGAUCAUUGAUUUAUUUUUUAAAAAACACUUUGAGCUCAAGCAGUAUGCCAGUAAUACUCUUGGUGAGGAGGAGUAGAGAUAGAGGAUAUGCCUUGUUACUCGGCUGAGAACUGAAUUACAAAAGGAAGUUCCGUGAUAUCUUUGGACACAAAGGUCAUGGAUAAGCGUAUUCCACCACAGCCUGAGCAACAUAUUAAGACCCCAUCUCUACAAAAUAAAAGAAUAAAAAGUUAGCCAAACAUGGUAGCAUACGCCCCUAGACCCAGCUAGUCAGGGGGCUAAGGUGGGAGGAUUGCUUGAGCCCAGGAUGUUAAGUCUGCAGUGAGCCAUGAUUACACCACUGCACUCCGUCUUACAAAAAUAGAAAAGAAAAGAAUAUCCCAUUAGAAAAAAAAAAUGCAAAAACCUUAAGGUGAGAGCAAUCAAAUACGGCUAAUACCUGUUAUGGUGUGUAGUACACUGCCUGGUACAUAGAAGGAAUCCAGUUGUUAUUUUAGUUACAAAAUAACAUCAUUUUAGAAACAGUUUAAUGGCCAAUAAAAUGUUUAAUAAGUAAAAUAUGAUAGAUACAGCAAUAGAAUUUCAUCAUUUGCCAUCAUUUUUAAAAAUGAUAUUGUUGACAAAAAAAAGCCAAAGUCUGUAAAAUAUUUGAAGAGGCUUAUUCUGAGCCAGAUACAAGUGACCAUGGCCCAUGACGUAGCCUCAGGAUGACCUGAGAACAUGUGCCCAAGGUGGUUGGGUUAUAACCUGUCUGUAUACAUUUUUGGGAGACCAAAGUUAUAGGCAAAGACAUAAAUCAACACAUAUAAGGCAUGCAUUGAUUGAUUUAGCCCAGAAGGGCAGGACACCUGGAAGCAGGGGCUUCCAGGUCAUAGACGGAUUGAAAGAUUUCCUGAUUGUCAAUUGCUUGAAAGACUUAAGCUUUAUCUGAAGAGUUAUAGUCAGCAUAAAUAAAUAUUUGAGUUAAGUUGAGGGGGUGGUGGGGUGGAAGCCAAGGUUCUUGUUAUAUAGAUGAAGUCUCUAAAUAAUAGACUUCAGAGGGAAUAGAUGUCAAAUGUCUCUUACUGGACCUUAAAAGAUACUAGACUCUCCAGAAAAGAUUUAGCAAGGGAGGGAGAUUCUCUAUAGAAUGCAGAUUUCCCCCACUAGAGACGGCUUUGCAGAUCAUUUCAAAAUAUGUCAAAGAAAAUGCAUUUUGGGGUACAAUACUUUGAUUUCCCUUAGGACCUGCUAUCCAUCAUGUGAUGCUAUAUUAGAGUCAGGUUGAAAUUGGUAUCUUAGUGCUACUAAGAGUCUGUUUUGUCAGUGUCGGGAUCUCCAUUUUAGUGUUAGUGCUGGUCAGUUGUGCCUAAACUCCAAAGGGAGGAGGGCAUAAUGAGGCAUGUCCAACACCCCCUUUCUGUCAUGUCCUAAACUGGUUUUUCAAGUUCCUUUGGAAUCCCCUUCACCAAGAGUAGGGUUCAUUCAGGCAGUUGGGAGCUUAGAAUUUUAUUAUGGGCUUACAAUGUAUGAUAUAUAAAUAUAAGAGUUUUGUUUGUUUGUUUUUGAGAUGGAGUUUCGCUCUUGUCACCCAGGCUGGAGUGCAAUGGUGCAAUCUCGGCUCACUGCUACCUGCGCCUCCCAAGUUCAAGCGAUUCACCUUCCUCAGCCUCCCGAGUAGCUGGGAUUAUAGGCACCCACCAUCACGACCAGCUAAUUUUGGAAUUUUUAGUAGAGAUGGGGUUUCACCAUGUUGGUCAGGUUGGUCUCGAACCCCUUACCUCAGGUGAUUCACCCACCUCAGCCUCCCAAAAUGGUGGGAUUACAGGUAUGAGCGACCAUGCCCGGCCAGUAGAAAAGUUUAAAAUUAACAAAUAUAAUAUCUCAGUUUGUUUUGCAUGUGUGUACAUAGUAAAAUGAUUAGAAGGUUCUAUACUGUAGGGGUCAUCCAGGAAAAAAACUUCCCCAUCACCCUCUGAAGGUUCACUGAAAAAUCAACUCACCAAAGCCAGGUGAAUGAGAGAAAAGGUGUACAAAUUUAUUAACAUGCACACAGGGGAAAAUCAUAGAUUGAUUACACGACCCUCAAUGGAGUAGAGAAACUUUUACCUUAUAAUUGAAGUUACAGAAAGAAUGGGGGCUUGGAUCAAAACAGGUUAUGAAAAGAGAGGAAGAUGGCCGGGCGCGGUGGCUCACGCCUGUAAUCCCAGCACUUUGGGAGGCCGAGGCGGGCGGAUCACGAGGUCACGAGAUCGAGACCAUCCCGGCUAAAACGGUGAAACCCCGUCUCUACUAAAAAUACAAAAAAUGAGCCGGGCGUGGUGGCGGGCGCCUGUAGUCCCAGCUACUUGGGAGGCUGAGGCAGGAGAAUGGCGUGAACCCGGGAGGCGGAGCUUGCAGUGAGCCGAGAUCCCGCCACUGCACUCCAGCCUGGGCGACAGAGCGAGACUCCGUCUCAAAAAAAAAAAAAGAAAAGAAAAGAGAGGAAGAUGAGGCCUGGCUAGCAAAGGUGUUCCUGUUAAGUAAAUGAAAUCUCACAAGUAGGUGGUAAAACCUAGGCAUGAUGAGAGCGAGAAUAGAUGGUGAAUGUUUCUUUCAGACCCUUAAAGAUGUCAGACACUGAGUUAAUCUUUCCUAGAUCCAGACGAGGGAAGGCCUCGGAGAAUGCCUGGCCACCAUCAAUACAGAUUCUCUCCACAGAUGCAAAUCUCCCCCACAAAAGAUAGCUUUGCAGAGCUACUUCUGUUUGCAGGGCCUCUGAAAGGCCAUCUCAAAAAUAUGUCAAAGAAAUGUAUUGUAGGGUCGGGUAUUUUGGUUUUCCUCAGUGAAGAGCACUUGAACGCACUGGACAUCUGAUAAAUGGAAGAAACGUGGUCUGAGUUGGGAAAAGCUAAGAGGCCAUCGUGGAGCAGCAUCACCUCAGGUGCAGUCUGUAGCAGACCGUUUUCUGGCUCCUGCGCGUGAGUGGUAAGCCAGAGCCCUCGCCCUGUAAUGAGGGCCAGGAACACCUAUCAGUAGGCAAAGCUUGAAGUCACUUUUGGAGCUCCUAGGUUGGGGAAAAGCAAGUGAGGCUGUUAUAUUCCUUGGAGAACAGAUUCUGUCUGGAGGCUGCUCAUCAGCCACUUUGAGUUAUUUUUAUUGACCUUCAGCUGUUUUUGCCCGGAGGCAUUUUAAAGAUGCCCGUGGGCCUUGGGCUGUUUUACAAUUACAAUAGCUUAUUUGAAUUGCUAGUUGUAGAAAUGCGUGCACAGCAGGGUCUUCGCUCUGUCCUUCCCUGGCUUCUGGGGUGCUUCAGAGGUUGAGGAAACCUGAUUUGCUGUCACUUGACAAGCCCACUUGUCUGAUUCAGCAGUUACCUGCCCUUCUCAGAUAGACUGCGAUGAUUUAACCUUACAUUUAUUUUAACACCCUGCUCUUAAAAGGUAUGUAAAAAGGUCUAGAAACUGCUCUAGAUAUUAUGAAAAAAAUCAUAGUAUGCUUGAUUUUCUUGAUCAAUGUUCACACCUUUCACAUAAACGAACUUAUCAAAUGUUAUAUAUAAAGUUUCAGUGCUGCAAAAGAAAAUAUCACUCAAAUAUAAAAUUUUCUUUUUAAUUCUCAGCAAGACACGUUACUUCUAUAUAGAAGGGUGCGCCCUUACAGAUGGAACAAUGGUGAGCGCAUACUUGGACAAGGGAGGGGAAGGGGUUCUUAUCCCUGAUGCCCGUGGCCCUUGCUGCUGUGUCAUUCCCUUAUUGGCUAGGGUUAGACCGCACAGGCUAAACUAAUUCCGAUUGACUAAUUUAAAGAGAGUCACUGGGUGAGUGCUUUGGCAGGAGUCAGGGCAGAGCAGGUUGGGGGUAAUUGGAAUGAGUUAGGGUGGAGCAGGUGAUUGGAAUGUAGGGUGCAGCAGGUGAUCAGAAUGAGUCAGGGUGGAGUAGGUAAUUGGAAUGAGUCAGGGUGGAGUAGGUAAUCGAAAAAGGUUGCUUUACGAGGAAGUUAAGUUUAAAAGUAGACGGCAAAGAAUUGAACAUAUUGACAUAUUCUUUGAAAAGAAAUUUAGAAUUCAUAUCUAACAUUGAAUUUCAGGAAAUUUUUGUUAUGCCUAACUUUUUGAAGUGAUUAUUAAAAACAGCAAGUUCUCCAGCAUAUUCCUUCAGUCAGAUAUACUUUAUAGAAUUAUGAGGCCUGUGCAGUGGUUCACACCUGUAAUUUCAACACUUAGGGAGGCUGAGGCAGGAGGAUCGCUUAAGCCCAGCAGUUCGAGACCAGCCGGGGCAACAUUGCAAGACCCCGUGUCUAUGAAAACAAAACAAAAAAAAAAUUAGCCAGGCAUGAUGGUGCACACCUGUAGUCCCAGCUUCUCAGGAAGCUGAGGUGGGAGGAUUGCUUGAGCCUGGCAAUUGGAGGCUGCAGUGAGCUGUAAUCACCCUGUCUCAAAAGAAAAAAAUAUGUAUAUGAAAUGUCAUUUGUUUGAUAGAAGUUUGAAGUCACUUGUCACAAAUGUUCAUUCUUUAAUUAACCCAUGAAAACCCACAGUAAUGUAUUAAGCCUUAUUUGUUCCUUUUAAGCCUGGGUGUUUACUGAUACCUUAUUCCCAUAUUCAAUGUCUUAUUGGAAUAAUCGACCACAGUUUUAUUCUACCUCCUCUUUUCUCUUUAAGCAUCCUGCGUUUUACCUAAAAGAUUAAGCACUAAAAAAAAAAAAAUUCCCGGUAAUAUUUGUUGAAUGAUGCCAUCUACAUGCUAGUUUAGGACAUCUGAUUUUUUUGGGGGGGGGAUGGGGGAGAAGGGGUUAAUCUGCUCUGUGGUUGCAGCAACAAACCAACGUACUUGCCUUCAAGGUUUUAUUCUAAUGCUGGAGAAGCUUAAUAAAAACUUUGUGAUAAGUUACACAGCUGUUAACUGACCCAAAGAAAAGUAAAGUCAAGGUUAGGAAAUACUGAAGGAAGCAUACACGUCCUAUGUUGCAGAGAGUGAUUAGAGGAAACCCCAGGAUGAGGCAUGUCAACUAAGAAGAGAUGACAAACCAGACCGCAAUGCAGUAAGACAAGACAUUUAUUGGGCCCUUAGGAAUUAUAAUUCAGGAGACACAGAUUUGGCUGUAAGCCAAAUUGUGUUCCAAACCAAGUGAGGGUUUUUCAAAGGAAACUAAAGGAUUACACAAGUUGUUUUGAAGGAAUUAUCAUGGGUGGAGGCGGCCGGCUUAGCACAAGUCCAUAGUUCAUUUAUUGUUGCUGUUUAGGAGUUGCAGCGCUGGUGAAAUUCAGCUGUUUUUCAGGAUAUCAUGGUUGUGGUGGUUAGGUGCACUUCAAAGAUUCAAGGCAAGGUACUGGGUUGUUUUGCAAGGUUGCCAGUGGUGCAGGCAGCCCUGAGAAUGGAUUCUGCUUUAGAGCCCUGAACUGUAGUGAUGCCGUUUUCUAUGUUUCACAGAUAACAUUUGAGCAGAGACCUAACUGAAGUGAAGGGGCCAAGUCAUGGUAUCUGGGAGAGGAACAUUCUAGCCAUAGAGAAUGUGAGGUAUCAUUCAUUAAGAUUCAAAAAAUAAUUCUGUGACUCUAGCGUUGCAGGAAAAAAAACGGGGUUCUUGUCACACGACCAGGAAAGAUUAGGCUCGCAGACACGUAGAAGGGUGACAAGUGGAAUUUAUUAGGCAGAAAUGAAAAAGGAAAUACGCAUCAGCAAAGUGAGAUAAGAGUCCUGCUAACAGGCUCUCCAUCUCAGGGAUUAAAUCCCACCUUACCACACAGAAACGAGAGAGACCAGGCUCCUCCCCCCUGCAAACAGUGCAAACUUCCCAAGGCCCCACCCCCUCCUCCCAAUGUGCAGAUGGGCGUUAUUCAGAAAGAAUCAUUUGGGGAAAAGGGUGGGCUUCAUCCGGACCGGCAGUCUGGUUUUUCAUCCCUCAUGCUGUUUUAGGCUUGAAGGCGGCAUUUCGUCAGGUGUUGGGGGCAGGAGGGGUCCUUGGCUGCCUCCUGUCUCUAUCACUGGUGUUUAUAUUUUUCCUGAAAAAAAUGAUGUAGUGAGAGUCAUUUUGGGAUUUGUUGCUUCCCACACACGUUUCCGGUAACCCUUAGCUAAUGAUGCAUGCUCUUGUGUUCUGACCUGUUUUCCAACCUCAGCCCAAGCCAUGUAAAUUCUUCCUGCACGUCUAGUAAUGGCUGCCAGUGAAACCGUCUCCUGGCCAAGUGGGGAAAGAUACUUGUUUUUAAGUUAGAUCUGAGCGACUCUGUGGCUCAUCUUUUGGGUAGAAAGUUCUCCAACAGCUUUUGUCUCUUCUAUUGUCUACUUUUAUUGUUUGCAUUCAUGUUUGAUAUCUCCAAUGUCAAUACAGGACUUGGGACAAAAUGAAAACAAUAAAUAUAUUAAUCGGAGUAAAUGUGUCACACUUAGCUCUCUUCCCAGUUAAGGGUGGUAUGUGCUAAGUGUUUCUGUUAAAAAUGCAUCAGUAGGCCGUGUGCGGUGGCUCAUGCCUGUAAUCCCAGCACUUUGGGAGGCCGAGGCAGGCGGAUCACGAGGUCAGGAGAUCAAGACCAUCCUGGCCAACAUAGUGAAACCCAUCUCUACUAAAAUACAACAACAUUAUCCAGGCGGGUGGCGGGCGCCUGUAGUCCCAGCUAUUGGGGAAGCUGAGGCAGGGGAAUGGCUUGAACCCAGGAGGUGGAGGUUGCAGUGAGCCGAGAUCACGCCGCUGCUCUCCAGUCUGGCAACAGAGCAAGACUCCGUCUCAAAAGAAAAAAAAAAAUGCAUCAGUAACGUUAAAGCGGUGUUCUCAAACAUUGACUUACAAAAAAAAUUCCGAAUACAUGAAUGAAAUGUCAACCUGAAGUAACUGAAAGCAUCAGAAUCCAAUUUUAGAGUUUAUUCAAGCAAGAAUCUGGGAAACAUGGACUCCAGAGAAAUGAGGCCAGUGCUCUGAAGUAAAAACUUAAGGUCUUGCUUAUAUAUGGGCAGAAACAAAGAAAUUUAGUAGGAUUGUAACUUUUUUUUAUGUAAGGCUGCUUUGUGGGUUAUAAUAAUUUAGUUAUUUUUCUUUUCCGUACAGCUUGUUUUUCUUCUUUACAGCUUGUUAUCAUUUACUUCACAAUUUAAAAGAGUUCAUUUAACAUUCCACCUUAGACAAUGUGAUAGUCAUCAUCAAGUCUUUGUGUGAGAAAGAAAGCAGACUCCUCCCUGCGUGAGUUGUAUCUUCAACUGUGUCAUUGAUUAGAACUUCAGAACUCCCUUCUUAUCAAGGUAGCCUGUUUCUUCAUGCUUUAGGCUACAUACUUUAAGGAUUUUGUUUUAAAGAUACUUUAAGUUGUUUAGUUCUAUCACUGAGAAAAUAGAACAGUCUUAAAAAUGCCUUGUGCUUUUUACAGCUAGUAUAGAUGAUGUCUCACUUAUAUUAGUACAGAACUUCUGCUAAGUAUAUCUUUGUUUUCAAGUUCAUUAAAGUGCUGGGUUUAUUUUGGAAUGCCAUCAUUGGGAUUGCUUUAUAUUGUGAAUAUCUUUCUCCGUUAACCUCAGGAAAUUCAAGAUAUUUUGCAUUAGAACUACCUCAUCCCCACAUACCUGUUUCUUGGCCUGGCAGGAUUUGCAUUGUCGGCCUUCACGCCAAGACUCUUGGUGAGGCCCUGAAAAAUAAAUUACUUCUCAUUAAUGUGUAUAUGGCUAAUUCUCUCUCUCUACUCUGAGGGGAAUAAAAUGGUUUUUUUGUCAUUUUACAUGGAACAAUGGGAGAAUAUUUUCAAGACAACAGACAGGAAGUAAAGAUUAAUAUGUUAAAUGAAAACAAUAGGCAAUGCUCAUACUAUGUCUUUCUAUCCAUAUUAUGACUUUCUAUCCAUAUUAUGACUUUCUGAUAGUAAACAUGAGGAAAA